RNAcentral lists this ribosomal RNA (468 nucleotides) under uncultured bacterium. RNAcentral describes it as "partial 16S ribosomal RNA". It matches the Rfam family "Bacterial small subunit ribosomal RNA", at positions 28 to 507 of the family's 1533-position model. The record is from RNAcentral.
GACGAACGCUGGCGGCGUGCUUAACACAUGCAAGUCGAACGGAAAGGCCCUGCUUUUGUGGGGUGCUCGAGUGGCGAACGGGUGAGUAACACGUGAGUAACCUGCCCUUGACUUUGGGAUAACUUCAGGAAACUGGUGCUAAUACCGGAUAGGAGCUCCUGCUGCAUGGUGGGGUUUGGAAAGUUUCGGCGGUUGGGGAUGUACUCGCGGCUUAUCAGCUUGUUGGUGGGGUAGUGGCUUACCAAGGCUUUGACGGGUAGCCGGCCUGAGAGGGUGACCGGCCACAUUGGGACUGAGAUACGGCCCAGACUCCUACGGGAGGCAGCAGUGGGGAAUAUUGCACAAUGGGCGGAAGCCUGAUGAAGCAAAGCAGCGUGCGGGAUGACGGCCUUCGGGUUGUAAACCGCUUUCGACUGUGACGAAGCGUGAGUGACGGUAAUGGGUAAAGAAGCACCGGCUAACUACGUG